GACGAACGCUGGCGGCGUGCCUAAUACAUGCAAGUGGGACGCAAGGGAACACACUGUGCUUGCACACCGUGUUUUCUUGAGUCGCGAACGGGUGAGUAACGCGUAGGUAACCUGCCUAUUAGCGGGGGAUAACUAUUGGAAACGAUAGCUAAUACCGCAUAAUAUUAAUUAUUGCAUGAUAAUUGAUUGAAAGAUGCAAGCGCAUCACUAGUAGAUGGACCUGCGUUGUAUUAGCUAGUUGGUAAGGUAAGAGCUUACCAAGGCGACGAUACAUAGCCGACCUGAGAGGGUGAUCGGCCACACUGGGACUGAGACACGGCCCAGACUCCUACGGGAGGCAGCAGUAGGGAAUCUUCGGCAAUGGACGAAAGUCUGACCGAGCAACGCCGCGUGAGUGAAGAAGGUUUUCGGAUCGUAAAGCUCUGUUGUAAGUCAAGAACGUGUGUGAGAGUGGAAAGUUCACACAGUGACGGAGCUACCA
RNAcentral lists this ribosomal RNA (481 nucleotides) under Streptococcus mutans. RNAcentral describes it as "bacterial SSU rRNA". It matches the Rfam family "Bacterial small subunit ribosomal RNA", at positions 28 to 485 of the family's 1533-position model. Lineage: Bacteria; Bacillati; Bacillota; Bacilli; Lactobacillales; Streptococcaceae. The record is from RNAcentral.